CCGCGCCUUUUUAAAUCCAAGCUAAUGAGUGCGCAUGGGACAGGUGCGGGUGCAGCGAUGCCGCUUUCGGUGCCAUCGUCCUGGGGCGGCCCAGGGCCUUCCUCGCAAGAAGCCGCCAAUGUACGGCCCUCGCUUGCUGUACCAGAGAAACAGUCCGCGGCGGCAGGAGUCACGGAUGGCUUUGCGCCAGCGGCAGCGGCAAAGACCUCACACGCCCCUCCGUCACUCCCUACACCUUCCGUGCUUGCCCAACCACAACCACCCUCUGCGGCAGUCCGUCCCACAGAUGCAGAGCCUCCCUCUUCCGCUGCGCCCGCGUCGGCCUUUUCAACGUCGGCGAAGAGCAACGCCACACAACGCAAGGUGGCAAAGUUGCUGGACAUCACGACGAGUAGCGAAAUCAAGGAUCUGGCGAGCUACGUGGACAACAUCUUGCCAGGCUACUUCUACUCCCUGGGCGACAGUGAAAAGGACGAGCCCAGCAGUGCCGAAGUCGCGGCCGCCAACGGCCACCGAUCUACACCGGCCCCGUCGAGUGCGGCAUCCAGCCACAGCAAUAACAACAAGACCAUCACAUCAACCGCACUUCGCAGUGCCCUCGACCAUCGUACCAUCGACGUGCACAAGAGUUUCCUGCAAGAGUUCACGGCCGUCUACCAGAGCUACCAGCGCGUGGCCGCACAGGUCAACGAGCUGCAGUCCAAGUGCUCUAGCUUGGAAGACACGCUGAACACCACCGCGGGCCGCCCCAGCAGAGAGGUGGAGGACUUCUUUUACCAGAUUCAGGCCUACCAAGCAGAGCUGCAGCUGGUGCGAAGCCACGACAAGGAGGUGGACGAGUUCCGCAAGCAGCACCACUUCGGCGCCGCUGAGCAGCAGGUACUAGAGGAGGGGGCAGUCGAUAUGAACUUCCUCAACGUGCUGGAGCGGGCGCGGCAGGUGCACCAGCGCAGCAGCGAGCUCAUGCAGUCCCAGGAAUACCACCAAGGUGCACUGGCAGUUAUGGAGUCCACCUACGGGGCCAUCACACGCGCUACGGAGAAGAUCGCUCGCCAUCUUCUCUCCACCGCUGGCAGCGGUGAGGGCCGCAGCGCUGGCGUCGCCGCGUCCGCUGCAGCAGGCGUUGCCGGGUCGAUUGCGGCUGAUGUGCCGGAGGUCACGGGCUUCCAGCUGCGGUGUGUGCGCCUCCUCUACGAGGAGAGUCCGUCGCUACACGAGAAGUUUCUCGAUGAGGUGGCGCGGCUGCGUCGGGCGUCGGUUCUGCGGCGCUACUUCCACCUCCUCACCACCGGCUCGGCGAACACGUCCACUGGCCUCUACCAGUCCGGAGGUCAGCCCUCCGCGUACGACGGCGGCGUUGGCAGUAGGCACGGUAGCAGCGAGGCAGGGAUGGGGGCCCGCCCCCUCGAGGCGGAGCUGAACAACCCCACCUAUUUCUUCAGCUCUCUUUGCGCGUGGCUGCACCAGACCAUCGCCGAGGAGCAGGACUUUAUUCACAACUUCUUUGUAAGCGAUGAGCCGGAGGUGGGGCAGGGAGGGCGGCGCAGCCACGCGACGACAGCGGCGCCGUCGUCGGCUUGUCUACAAGCGGGAAGCGACGCUGCACGAGCUGCGCGCGACAAGGCACGGCAGCAGGCGUUGCUCGAGGGCGUGUUCGGAGGGGUGUGCAAGCACAUCCGGGCGGCGCUCGACAACGUUCUGGAGCGGCUGGGGCGAACAGCGGCCGUGCUCGGUGCGGCCACAUGUAGCUCGGAGGGUGAAGGCAGAGCUAGCGGCUGCGGAAGCAUCGCCCUCUCAGGCAGCGCAGAUGCCCUCGCUCCGCGCAAGGGCCCACGUGGCCUGACUGGCGGCUUGACACGCUUGUUCAUGGCCGCCACUGGUCGCUCGCCCAUCGCGGCCUUCCGUGGCGCUGGGCAUGACGAAUCCAAUGCGCUUCUUCAGCGAUACGCCGGCGUCACGACCCGCGCGCAGCAAGAAGCCGUGGCCUCAUCGAUGCUGCGCCCCCCGCUGCAGGGAAUCCAGACCUGCGUGACGCUAGUGCAGCUGUUUGAGUACUACACUGCCACAACGUUCGCGCCACUGUUGGGGGAAGACUCGGCGCUUACCCGGCUGAUCCGCAAAACCGCUCCUCAGAAAACGCGAGAGCUCUUCCAGCGCCUGCUGCAUGUCUUAACCGCGCACCUGUUGGACAGCACAGCGGGCAUCAUUGGCCGCACCGCGACACUGAGGAGGUUGGCGUCGUCUCACGCGCUAAAGCAGGCGGCUGACGGUGACGACGCACAAGGUGUCUCGCCGCUUGCAGCAGAGCGCCGCGCCGUCACUAAAACUGGCCCAUCGACGUUUGUGCUCGACUUCCUCGUCACCUUCACGUACGGCAACGACGCGAACAGCCUCGGUGGCGCGCCCAAUGGGUCGGAGAGCGCACUGCUGAACGACAGCGAGAGCGACAUUUACAUGUCCUUCUCCUCCCUCUCCGCUGCUGCCGCCACGACUCGAUUCCGGCAGGCAAACGAUGGCCAGCUACUGCAUCACAGCGCGCACGACCUCCGGCGCGUUCUAUCGCAGCUUAUCCUGCCCCCAUCCCCAGAGGUGGCGGCGUACUGCGCUGUCGUGCACUCGGUGCUUCAGGACACUGCGCGUCAAGUCGAGCUUCUGGGUGCGAUCGCCGAGCAGCAGCGCGCUGCAGUGGCCCAGGGGCACCGCUCGAGUGGCCAGGCCGCAGCCUCAGACGCCGGUGUGGCGGCGCUCGCUACACACACUGAGGUAACGUUUUUUGUGCAGGAGAUGCUACAAUCGCUGCUGAAGGCCGCGCGCUCGGUGGAGGCGGACGGGCCGCUACGGACGAAUCUCGACGACCCGUGUCGUGCUAUCGUGGAGUACAAUGUGCUUUACCAACUGCGUGACGUGCUUGAACAGCACGCGGCAGUGCUUGGGGUGCUCUUCAAGGGUUCAGACGCACAAGGUCAAGAGGCGGAGCGAACGUUGGACUCUAUUCGGAUGGAGUGUUCCACCACCAUGACCGCUCUGCGUCAGCGCCUUGUGUCCGCGUGGACAACCGCCGUCGAACUCUUCUACUUUCCUGUGUCGACGGAGGCCGUUGUCGCGGCGAUGUCGAGCGCCGCGGCCGCGGAAGCCAAUGAAAAACGGCUCAUCACCGUCAAGAAGGAUGUGCGGCGUGUGCUGAAGCAGUUCGUAAACGUGUACAACACCAUCGCCUCCUUGGGCCACUUGCCGGAGCCCGUGCCCCUUCUUUUGGCCCUCGCCGGCGGCGACGACGUGUGCGAAGAAGUGCGCCGAAAAGUCACCCUGAGCAUCGUGGAAGAUGUGUACACGGCGGAGUUCAAGAUGCUGUCUUCUUUGCCGCCCACCGAGGAGCUCGUAGCGGUGCAAACCGAAAUGGCGCCGCAGAAUUUGCUCAAGCUGGUCGACUUCAGCUCCUCCGCACCCGCCGCAACGUCGCAGCCCCUUUCGUCGUGAGGCGGCAGUUUUCAGCGACGCAGAGGUCAGUGCGGCGGCGGCGGACAGGAGAGUUUUGUGUGUAUGUGUGUGUGUGUGGGGGGGGGGGGCAUUCGUCUAUCAUAGCAGCAGCAGGAAACAGCGUGCAACCACGCAAGCAUCGAUACCGCUUGUUGUUGGCAGCUGGAUGUUGUUGUGAUGUGCGUCUUUGUGCCUGCUUGCGGUCCUCUCGGGUGCUGCCUCAAGAAGGCUGUGCGUGUGUGGCUCUGUGCGGCAGGCAUCCGCCCCGCUGCCUCUCGCGUGACGCCUGCAAUCCCUCACGUCUGUCGUCCUCUACCACGUCGCAUCCUCGGGUCUGCGGGCCCCACGUCUCAUCUUCGUGCGCACACAACUCGCGUCUACGUGUGCUUCGGUCAUGUGCUCCGUCUUG
RNAcentral lists this unclassified non-coding RNA (3886 nucleotides) under Leishmania donovani. RNAcentral's name for it is "gene:LdHU3.34.0560(CDS-product:hypothetical_prote in_conserved)". Lineage: Eukaryota; Euglenozoa; Kinetoplastea; Trypanosomatida; Trypanosomatidae. The record is from RNAcentral.